This 976-nucleotide long non-coding RNA is filed under the name Oreochromis niloticus (Nile tilapia). Its description in RNAcentral is "lncRNA (ENSONIG00000039690.1)". The record is from RNAcentral. Lineage: Eukaryota; Metazoa; Chordata; Actinopteri; Cichliformes; Cichlidae.
UUCUAGCAGCUGUUACUAAGGCAAAACCAUCACCUGCUAAAAAGAAGAAAGGUAUACAGCAGAAUCGUGUGUUGUUUUGCUGUAGAAACAUCACACGCAGCACUGUGCUGAUAUUAAUCCUGUCACAUUCAAGCCACGUCACAUCACUGACAUGUAGCUGCUGACGAUAUGCGUCGCUGCCACGUGAUAAUGACCCAACUAAAAGUAUCAUAAUCUGUUUUUAUUUUGCUUAAAUUAUUAUGUUACCGCUGAGUUUUGUCCUUUUCAAGUUGGUCAUUUUCAUGUUUCAGCAUUCCUCAAUACGUGCUUGAUUGACAUACUAAGUAUGAAUGCUGUUUCACAGUGUCUUAUUUUCUGCAAGACUGAACCUAAAAUGUCUUUACUUAGAGCCAGCUCCCAUUAAGACAAAACCAGCCCCAGCUAAAGGUAAGACCAGACUUUAUUUUGUUAAUCAUAAUUUCAAAAUGUACUCAAGCUUUUGAUUUUCAUACUCAUUUAUCUUUGACAGAAGCACCACACAAAAAUGUUACUCUAACAAAGGAGAAGGUGAAGGUGGUGCCACUGAAGAAAGGUACAUCUCUUUGUUUAAGCAGCUGUUCUUGUGUGUUUUUUAUGCUAACUUUCUAAAUUCAGAAUGCUUUCUCAAUGUUUCCAAACUUAAACACUUUUUCCCAUCUUAGUGCCUUUGACACUGAAACAGAGAGUUAAACCAGAACCAACCAAAAAAGACGCCAAAAAGCCUGUAAGAGAAAUUAAAAUUGUCAAGAAGGAGGUUGCAUCCGUUCUUAAGAAGGAACAGCUCAAUGUUACAAAAGCAGAAGCAGCUCCCAAGGAGCCUAAGAAGGAGCCAGCGCUAAAAGUAAAGCCUACACCUGUAAAACCAGCCGAGGUUUCAAAACAGAAGCUCAAGCCAGUUCUAACCAAGAAAGGUAAGAAACAGUUAUCCUUGAGUUUCAUUGUGUCUUAUUCCCUGUGA